AACGAACGCUAGCGGCAUGCCUAACACAUGCAAGUCGAACGAGACCUUCGGGUCUAGUGGCGCACGGGUGCGUAACGCGUGGGAACCUGCCCUUAGGUUCGGAAUAACUCCCCGAAUGGGGUGCUAAUACCGGAUAAUUUCUUCUGACCAAAGAUUUAUCGCCUUUGGAUGGGCCCGCGUUGGAUUAGCUAGUUGGUAGGGUAAAAGCCUACCAAGGCGACGAUCCAUAGCUGGUCUGAGAGGAUGAUAAGCCACACUGGGACUGAGACACGGCCCAGACUACUACGGGAGGCAGCAGUGGGGAAUAUUGGAAAAUGGGCGAAAGCAUGAUCAAGCAAUGCCGCGUGAGUGAUGAAGGCCUUAGGGUUGUAAAGCUCUUUUACCCGGGAUGAUAAUGACAGUACCGGGAGAAUAAGCACCGGCUAACUCCGUG
This 433-nucleotide ribosomal RNA is filed under the name uncultured bacterium. RNAcentral's name for it is "partial 16S ribosomal RNA". It matches the Rfam family "Bacterial small subunit ribosomal RNA", at positions 29 to 507 of the family's 1533-position model. The record is from RNAcentral.